This is a long non-coding RNA of Triplophysa dalaica, 1771 nucleotides long. RefSeq lists it as uncharacterized. NCBI's taxonomy places the organism in Eukaryota, Metazoa, Chordata, Actinopteri, Cypriniformes, Nemacheilidae. The transcript is spliced from 5 exons. The record is from RefSeq and is a predicted model, not a curated record.
GACUAGCCUAGCACAUAUACUUUUUUAACUAAACUAAAACUCAAUCAAAACUAAUAUUCAAAUGAAGAAACGUCCUGUGCUUCCGUAAAAACUGGCCAAAAAAAUAUAUAUAUAAUAUAAUAAUAUAAUAUAUAUUUUUAUAUGUCUAUACAAAUAUAGAUAAAUAUCUAAAAUAUCGCAAAAGAACUGCAACACUGAAUGACUUAACGUUAGCCUAACAUGUUUCCUCAGUGAAGGAGCUGGCGGAUAAGGUUUCCAACUGCAGGACCAUGUAAAGCCAGACCCACGAAUGUUCAGCAUUCUCUAUGCGAACCACCAUCUCAGCUCUGCCUUCUCCUCCCUCUCUCACUGAUUGGGGAAAGAAACACAGGUUUUUCAGGAGUAAUACUCACACAGACUGCAGUGCUGAGCAGAGGCAUGUGAAAGAUCUUGGGGAUGUAGGAAGCUAUACCAGGAUUGGGCCCGAAGAGUCUCCACAUUCAUACCCAAAUAAACGUUUACGCUGAAAGUCAAUAAAGAAUCAAGGUCUUCAUUCUGCCUCUUGAAAGAAAGGAGCUAACCUGUCGCCUAGCAACACCUCCUACUCCUGCUGGAGCUAGUAAGAGAGAGAAGAAGAGGAUGGAUAGAAGCUGUCUGUGAAACUGAUGAGGCUGAUGGAGCUAUGUUCUUCCGGUGGCUUUGUGGAUCAGCACCCAGGAUCCUCUGCCUCUUGUACGUUUUCUGUCCUCCCGCAGUCUGAUAGAGCAUGCGUGGAGACGGACAGCUGGACUAUGAAUGUAUGCAGGGGAGGAAAAGUCGGAAGAGAGAAGGACGGCCCAUUCCGUUCCCCAUACAGCCCCCCUGCACAGCCAACCUCCGCCCACAAAACCCCCCCCAUUAUACCCCCCAGGAUGAAAAUUCCUGGUCUCUGGCCCAAAUUCCCAAAUUCCAAAUUUGUCCAACUCUGGAACAACAGAACAGUGUACAUAUUCCCACACAUAACCAACCAACCCCCUCCAUGCACAUAAGCACCGGCCCCCGCACACACCGACACCCCACCUGGUUUCAUUUAAACUCACCCCCCACAGCCUACAACUUUCUUUCUCUUUUUUCCCCUCCGCUCCUUCAUCUGUCCCAUCUUUUUCGGUCUUACUCUUGGUCUCUAUUCCUUUCAUUCGGCCGGUUAUUUAUAGCUUGGGAGAAGCUGGUGGAAUGCAGACAAAAAUUAGAGAGCAAACUAGAAAGAGAAAGAGCAAGAGAAGGGAGUUUUUUGCCCAUGUCUAAAUAUUUAAACUGGAGGUACACGCAUGCUGAUAUUAGGAUGGAAAUGAAGGGCAGUGGAAAGACUGACAUUCUUACUGCCAUUAUACCUUUACAGACUCUAGAUUUAGUACAGAUUAAUAACUCCAUCAUCUAAUAAACUUAAGAGGACCUUCAGACUCAAGCUUCUCAGCUGGUUCUGCUUCAUAGGACACAGAUUUUACAUCGAAGUGGCAACCCAGUGAUAGUGACUACAAAACAUGUAUUGUACAAAGGUAAACAAAAAUGUCUUUGAGAUCGAACAUUAAAUCGAACGCAAGUGACACUGAAUUGAAUACAGUCCAGUUUAUAUUUUACUUUAUACCAAAAAUCAUGAGGCCUUCAUGAUUUUUGCACCAAACUUAAAAUAGAUCACCUUCAAAAUGAAACUUCUGUCAUAAUUUUGCUCACCCUCUUGUCAUUUCAAACCUGUAUGACUUUCUUUCUUCCGUAGAACACAAAUGAAUGUGUUUUAAAGAAUGUUGUUAACAGC